UUACCAGUUUAAAAUUACCAGUUUAAAGUUACCAGUUUAAAGUUAUAAAAAAUAAAAUGUAUAGGGCGAACUUUUUUAAAAUAUUCUUGUUCUUCUCAUUAGUUACAUGCCUAAUUUUAUAUACCACAAAAUAUGAUAGAAAAGGAGUCUUAAGACAAAAACCAUUUAACAUGUGUUCAAGUAGGAAAGUAAAAGAUGGAAAUAAACAUUUAGUGAACUAUUAUAAAACAAAAUUCUCAAAUCUUGAGUUGUCAAAAUUGUUUUGGCUGUCUUUAAAAAAAAAACUAGUAAUUAUACAUCGGGUUAAUAGAAUAAAGGAUAAAAAGGUUAAAAAAGUGUUAAAUAAAAAUUUGCAAAAAUUAGAUUUUUUUUCAAAUCAUAUGAACAGUACUAGUAAUAACAGUAAUAGUAGUAAUAAUAACUACUUGAUUUGUUUUUUACAGAAUAUAAAAUUAUACCUCCAAUUUAAUAGGAGAAAAUUUAUACAACCUACUGACAAAAAAAAGAACAAGACAUAUUCCAAAGUGAAUGUUAAUAAAAAUAAGACAAAAGAAAAAAAUUUGUUAAACACAAGUAUUAAUAAUGUAAUAAAAAUUAUUUAUAAAAAUAUAUGUAAUAAAUUUAAAUUAGUAUUUGUAGAAAAAUUUGCUCAAAAAUAUAUGAACAGUAAUAAUUUUAAUAACCAUAAAUACAUAAAAUGGUUUCAUUUUGCAUCAUUUUUCCUGAACAUGGUCAUAAUAAAACAAAAAAAAAGAAUAUUAUCAACUGCUGGAACAGUAAUAGUUGAUUCAACUGGUGCUAAUAUUAAUGUUACUGAUGACACACUUACUGAGACUGAUAUUGAUGAUUUACCAAAAAAAAAAAAAACAGAAAAUAAAAAUGAUAAUAGUCAAUAUUAUGCAUUUUUUUUAGAUAUAGCAUCGGAAAAUACUUUAGCUGAUAAUGAAAUAGACAGGUGGGUUAAUCCAGAAACAAUGUCAUGUUAUUGUAGUGAAGAAAAUUCAGAACCAAUUACAUUAGACUAUGAUGGUAAUAAUAGUCACUUCGUCGAUUAUAAAUCGGUUACUACAUUCAUGAGUAAUGAAAUAUGUAAUAUAAAAAAUUUGCCGGCAGUUUUAAAAGAAGAAGAAAUAGGUACAGGUACACCAAUAAUGGCAGGUACAGGUACACCAAUAAUGGCAGGUACAGGUACACCAAUAAUGGCAGGUACAGGUACACCAAUAAUGGCAGGUACAGGUACGUUAGCACGUAUAUUAACCCACACACAUGCAAUUCCCACUAAUGUAUUUGUUGCUGUAUCUAACUAUAACGUUAUAGAUUGUGAAACAUAUCAAAACAAGUCAAAAGAAACUAUCAGUUUCGAUACUUUGUACAAUUAUUGUAAAUACGGUUUAGAUAUAUGGUCGCGUGAAGAAUUGUAUGAUUAUUCUAAUUGUGAUUCGAUUCGUUCUUAUGUACAAGAAGAUAAACAAUUUUGUAUUGAUCAUUGUAAAAAUAUAGUAAAUUUAUGUAACAAGGAUAAUAUGAAAUAUUAUUCUAUACAAUCUUGUAUAAGAUCUGCUAUUACUAAUGCAAGUACUGUUAAUAAAUAUAGUGAUAUAUUUACACAUUUUAAUAAAAGAUGUGCUUUUUAUGAUUCAUACAAUAGAGGAUUAGUUUUAUGUAAAUAUAAAAAUGAAGAAUGUAAUUUUAGUGAGUGGAGUGAAUGGUCCACUUGUUCGAGUAAUUGUAGAAAAGAUGAUUAUGAUAUAGGAGUAACUAAAACAAGAAAUCGUAAACUUUUAAAUAAAUCUACUUAUCUUGGUAAAACAUGUAAUAGUUUUUUUGAUGAUAAAAAUAAUUUAUAUGAAGUAAAUCAUUGUUCCGAAUUACCUUAUUGUGAUAAAAAAAUGAACGACUUACUUAAUGAAAAAAAAAAACAGUCUGUAGCUCCAUAUAUUAUUCCAUUAGAAGAAGUUAAAACUUUAUAUGAAUAUGAUGAAGCACUUAAAAAAGAUACUUUUGGAUUUUUAAAAGAUACUGAUUUUAAUACAAACAAUAAUAAUAAUAAUAAUAAUAAUAAUAAUAAUAAUAAUAAUAAUAAUAUACAUAAAUGUAGUAUAAUCAAUAUGUCCAAUUAUAAAAAUUCAAGAAGUUAUAAUGAAAAAAAAAAUUCUUGUUCAUGUCCUAAUAAUAAAACUGCAUGUUAUUUUAAAGAUAUAUAUAAAUCUGAUUAUUGGAAAAAAUCAUUUGCACAAUUAUGUAAAACAAAUCCUAAUGCAAGUGUUAUUACAGCUGAUUUUAUUUUAAUAAAUUGUAAUAUGACUAUAAGUGUUAAAAAACAAGAAACUUCUUUAAUAACAUAUUUUGCUAUGACUUAUAAUUGCCAAUCAAAUAUUUUUCAAUAUUUAUUUUGUUCAAAUACUGUAGAUAUAUCAGGUGAAACAUUUUUAUACAUACUUUUUACUUUUAUAUUUGGAUUUAUUUUAGCAUUAUUUGUUAUUUAUAAAAUUGUACAUCAAGGUAAAAUAUAUAAAGCCUUGUUUUUAGGAGUAAAGCCAACCAUAAAUAAAAUAAAUUCUAUGGCUUCGUAUGAAGAAAAUAUUAACCAUAUAGACUCUUUUAUAAAAACUUACGAUACCAUGGGUAAUGAAAUAUAUGAGAAAAACGAAAAUGGUAAUGGUGGAUUUUUUAACCGUAUGGUACGUUCAUAUAGAAAUGUUCAUAAUAAACUGGCUAAUAUAAAAGAUGAUGAUAUGUUAUUACAUUCUAAAAAGGAGAUAGUUGGUGAGAAGAAAAAAAAAAUAUGGAUUAAAAGGAUUUAUCAAUAAUAUGUUUAAACGUGGUGAUAAGUCAAUACGAACAAUAGAACCUGAGGGGAGAAAUGAAAAUAACAAUACAUAUAAUGAAGAGAGGGUAAAUGGAGAGGGAGUAAAUGAAGA
This 2921-nucleotide long non-coding RNA is filed under the name Piliocolobus tephrosceles (Ugandan red Colobus). RNAcentral's name for it is "lncRNA (ENSPTEG00000020702.1)". The record is from RNAcentral. Lineage: Eukaryota; Metazoa; Chordata; Mammalia; Primates; Cercopithecidae.